Molecule: long non-coding RNA, 217 nt
Filed under: Solanum tuberosum (potato)
Lineage: Eukaryota; Viridiplantae; Streptophyta; Magnoliopsida; Solanales; Solanaceae
Description: long non-coding RNA (STUB_LNC009052)
Source: RNAcentral
AGGAAUGUAUGUGGAUUUCAAGAUUGAAGGAGUGAUAUAUAACACAAACACCAAAAAGACGUUUACCAAAUAGAUACAAUACCUUGUAAUUAAUUUUAUUUUUUUAUGAAUGGAAUUUUUACUAAUACUAGUGAUUUUUUCAUAUAUAUUGGUAUAAUUAUUUAUUAAUUCAAUGAUAAAUAUUGAUAGAUAGUUGAUAAUAUUAUGGUGUAAGGCA